UACGUAGGGACCAAGCGUUGUUCGGAUUUACUGGACGUAAAGGGCGCGUAGGCGGCGUGACAAGUCACUUGUGAAAUCUCUGAGCUUAACUCAGAACGGCCAAGUGAAACUGUUGUGCUAGAGUGCAGAAGGGGCAAUCGGAAUUCUUGGUGUAGCGGUGAAAUGCGUAGAUAUCAAGAGGAACACCUGAGGUGAAGACGGGUUGCUGGGCUGACACUGACGCUGAUGCGCGAAAGCCAGGGGAGCAAACGGG
RNAcentral lists this ribosomal RNA (253 nucleotides) under uncultured bacterium. RNAcentral's name for it is "partial 16S ribosomal RNA". It matches the Rfam family "Bacterial small subunit ribosomal RNA", at positions 524 to 776 of the family's 1533-position model. The record is from RNAcentral.